UGUAUGUAGCUCAGUGGUAGAGCGCUUGCCUGGCAUGUCUGAGGCACUGGGUUCGAUUCUCAGCACUACAU
Molecule: non-coding RNA, 71 nt
Organism: Ictidomys tridecemlineatus (thirteen-lined ground squirrel)
Lineage: Eukaryota; Metazoa; Chordata; Mammalia; Rodentia; Sciuridae
Source: Rfam